RNAcentral lists this ribosomal RNA (1218 nucleotides) under Enterococcus faecium. RNAcentral's name for it is "bacterial SSU rRNA". It matches the Rfam family "Bacterial small subunit ribosomal RNA", at positions 138 to 1343 of the family's 1533-position model. Lineage: Bacteria; Bacillati; Bacillota; Bacilli; Lactobacillales; Enterococcaceae. The record is from RNAcentral.
AGGGGAUAACACUUGGAAACAGGUGCUAAUACCGUAUAACAAUCAAAACCGCAUGGUUUUGAUUUGAAAGGCGCUUUCGGGUGUCGCUGAUGGAUGGACCCGCGGUGCAUUAGCUAGUUGGUGAGGUAACGGCUCACCAAGGCCACGAUGCAUAGCCGACCUGAGAGGGUGAUCGGCCACAUUGGGACUGAGACACGGCCCAAACUCCUACGGGAGGCAGCAGUAGGGAAUCUUCGGCAAUGGACGAAAGUCUGACCGAGCAACGCCGCGUGAGUGAAGAAGGUUUUCGGAUCGUAAAACUCUGUUGUUAGAGAAGAACAAGGAUGAGAGUAACUGUUCAUCCCUUGACGGUAUCUAACCAGAAAGCCACGGCUAACUACGUGCCAGCAGCCGCGGUAAUACGUAGGUGGCAAGCGUUGUCCGGAUUUAUUGGGCGUAAAGCGAGCGCAGGCGGUUUCUUAAGUCUGAUGUGAAAGCCCCCGGCUCAACCGGGGAGGGUCAUUGGAAACUGGGAGACUUGAGUGCAGAAGAGGAGAGUGGAAUUCCAUGUGUAGCGGUGAAAUGCGUAGAUAUAUGGAGGAACACCAGUGGCGAAGGCGGCUCUCUGGUCUGUAACUGACGCUGAGGCUCGAAAGCGUGGGGAGCAAACAGGAUUAGAUACCCUGGUAGUCCACGCCGUAAACGAUGAGUGCUAAGUGUUGGAGGGUUUCCGCCCUUCAGUGCUGCAGCUAACGCAUUAAGCACUCCGCCUGGGGAGUACGACCGCAAGGUUGAAACUCAAAGGAAUUGACGGGGGCCCGCACAAGCGGUGGAGCAUGUGGUUUAAUUCGAAGCAACGCGAAGAACCUUACCAGGUCUUGACAUCCUUUGACCACUCUAGAGAUAGAGCUUCCCCUUCGGGGGCAAAGUGACAGGUGGUGCAUGGUUGUCGUCAGCUCGUGUCGUGAGAUGUUGGGUUAAGUCCCGCAACGAGCGCAACCCUUAUUGUUAGUUGCCAUCAUUCAGUUGGGCACUCUAGCAAGACUGCCGGUGACAAACCGGAGGAAGGUGGGGAUGACGUCAAAUCAUCAUGCCCCUUAUGACCUGGGCUACACACGUGCUACAAUGGGAAGUACAACGAGUCGCGAAGUCGCGAGGCUAAGCUAAUCUCUUAAAGCUUCUCUCAGUUCGGAUUGCAGGCUGCAACUCGCCUGCAUGAAGCCGGAAUCGCUAGUAAUC